RNAcentral lists this ribosomal RNA (488 nucleotides) under uncultured bacterium. Its description in RNAcentral is "bacterial SSU rRNA". It matches the Rfam family "Bacterial small subunit ribosomal RNA", at positions 375 to 882 of the family's 1533-position model. The record is from RNAcentral.
GGGAAACCCUGACGCAGCAACGCCGCGUGAAUGAUGAAGGCCUUAGGGUUGUAAAGUUCUGUCUUCUGGGACGAUAAUGACGGUACCAGAGGAGGAAGCCACGGCUAACUACGUGCCAGCAGCCGCGGUAAUACGUAGGUGGCAAGCGUUGUCCGGAAUUAUUGGGCGUAAAGGGUGCGUAGGCGGUCUUGCAAGUCAGAGGUGAAAGGCUACGGCUCAACCGUAGUAAGCCUUUGAAACUGUAGGACUUGAGUGCAGGAGAGGAAAGUGGAAUUCCCAGUGUAGCGGUGAAAUGCGUAGAUAUUGGGAGGAACACCAGUUGCGAAGGCGGCUUUCUGGACUGUAACUGACGCUGAGGCACGAAAGCGUGGGGAGCGAACAGGAUUAGAUACCCUGGUAGUCCACGCCGUAAACGAUGAGUACUAGGUGUCGGGGGUUACCCCCCUCGGUGCCGCAGCUAACGCAUUAAGUACUCCGCCUGGGAAGUA